AGAGUUUGAUCCUGGCUCAGAAUCAACGCUGGCGGCGUGCCUAACACAUGCAAGUCGCACGAGAAAGGGGAGCAAUCCCUGAGUAUAGUGGCGCACGGGUGAGUAACACGUGACUAACCUACCCUCGAGUGGGGAAUAACCUAGGGAAACCUGGGCUAAUACCGCAUAACACUUACGAGUCAAAGCAGCAAUGCGCUUGGGGAGGGGGUCGCGGCCGAUUAGCUAGUUGGCGGGGUAAUGGCCCACCAAGGCAAUGAUCGGUAUCCGGCCUGAGAGGGCGCACGGACACACUGGAACUGAAACACGGUCCAGACUCCUACGGGAGGCAGCAGUGGGGAAUUUUGCGCAAUGGGGGAAACCCUGACGCAGCAACGCCGCGUGGAGGAUGAAGUCUCUUGGGACGUAAACUCCUUUCGAUCGGGAAGAUAAUGACGGUACCGAUAGAAGAAGCCCCGGCUAACUUCGUGCCAGCAGCCGCGGUAAUACGAGGGGGGCAAGCGUUGUUCGGAAUUAUUGGGCGUAAAGGGUGCGUAGGCGGUCUGGUAAGUCUUGUGUGAAAUCUUCAGGCUCAACCUGAAGUCUGCAUGAGAAACUGCCGGGCUUGAGUAUGGGAGAGGUGAGUGGAAUUUCCGGUGUAGCGGUGAAAUGCGUAGAUAUCGGAAGGAACACCUGUGGCGAAAGCGGCUCACUGGACCAUUACUGACG
Molecule: ribosomal RNA, 705 nt
Filed under: uncultured bacterium
Lineage: Bacteria
Description: bacterial SSU rRNA
Rfam family: Bacterial small subunit ribosomal RNA
Source: RNAcentral